Molecule: ribosomal RNA, 471 nt
Filed under: Salmonella enterica
Lineage: Bacteria; Pseudomonadati; Pseudomonadota; Gammaproteobacteria; Enterobacterales; Enterobacteriaceae
Also listed under: 2 other names
Description: bacterial SSU rRNA
Rfam family: Bacterial small subunit ribosomal RNA
Source: RNAcentral
AAAUUGAAGAGUUUGAUCAUGGCUCAGAUUGAACGCUGGCGGCAGGCCUAACACAUGCAAGUCGAACGGUAGCAGGAAGCAGCUUGCUGCUUUGCUGACGAGUGGCGGACGGGUGAGUAAUGUCUGGGAAACUGCCUGAUGGAGGGGGAUAACUACUGGAAACGGUGGCUAAUACCGCAUAACGUCGCAAGACCAAAGAGGGGGACCUUCGGGCCUCUUGCCAUCAGAUGUGCCCAGAUGGGAUUAGCUAGUUGGUGAGGUAACGGCUCACCAAGGCGACGAUCCCUAGCUGGUCUGAGAGGAUGACCAGCCACACUGGAACUGAGACACGGUCCAGACUCCUACGGGAGGCAGCAGUGGGGAAUAUUGCACAAUGGGCGCAAGCCUGAUGCAGCCAUGCCGCGUGUAUGAAGAAGGCCUUCGGGUUGUAAAGUACUUUCAGCGGGGAGGAAGGUGUUGUGGUUAAUAACC